This is a long non-coding RNA of Dermacentor silvarum, 832 nucleotides long. RefSeq lists it as uncharacterized. NCBI's taxonomy places the organism in Eukaryota, Metazoa, Arthropoda, Arachnida, Ixodida, Ixodidae. The record is from RefSeq and is a predicted model, not a curated record. The transcript has 4 exons.
CCGUGUUCGGCUGUCAAAAUGUUACCAGUCUAGAAACGUUGGGCUGUCGGUAUGUGAGCGCAGCAUGAAUAUUUUCCUUGCGGACGGUCGAUGUGGUAGUUUAAUCAUAUUUACGCUUUGCCGAGAGAAAAUGUGCUCUUUUUUGUGCGCAUCAGCGAUCGCUAAGCCCCUGGGCCUGUGCAACGCUGCUAGCUAGCUGUAUCUCUCGUGCGGUGCGGCGUUGUUGGUUAUCGUAGUUCGGUCCAUUCGUGCUCUUUGUUCCCGGCUCAUUAGCAGCCUCUGGUACUCUCGCCGAUCUCGCAGCGGUUCACAGUGCACGGAAGAAUGUGUUGGAAAUUGUACUAUUACGUUCAUCCGCAAUUUAACAGUGUUUAUGCCGGAAGGACAGUUCGUGCAGUCGAUGCCGCCGGACCUGACACGAAGGAGCGUUUGCCGAGUAUGUCUCGAAAGGGAUGUCACGAUUUCGUGAGACGGAUGCAAUCUCUGCACCACAUGGGAGCCUGUGGCAAAAUGCAGUCUGAGCAGCCCGACAAGGAAUCUGAUCUGCUUGCUUUGACAAGGUAUGGCUGGGCCUGCAGAGAAAGUGUAAGCAGACUGUGCUGUGUUGCUGAUCAGUGCUGAUCUCCACGCCUGAGUUGGUCCCCCAACAUCCAGGCACCAGCGUGCUUUGCUUCAUCAUUGACAAGGUGCGCGGCAAGCUCUCACUCAAGCAACACAUUCCAGUGGUCUUCUGUCAACAGACUGGGUCUAUUGAAGUACCAUUACAAGGUCCAAUAAACAACGCUUGCGAGAUGUGUGACGUGCUCUUGCUUAAAAUCGGAGGACUUCACUA